GAUGAACGCUGGCGGCGUGCCUAAUACAUGCAAGUCGAGCGAACGGACGAGAAGCUUGCUUCUCUGAUGUUAGCGGCGGACGGGUGAGUAACACGUGGAUAACCUACCUAUAAGACUGGGAUAACUUCGGGAAACCGGAGCUAAUACCGGAUAAUAUUUUGAACCGCAUGGUUCAAAAGUGAAAGACGGUCUUGCUGUCACUUAUAGAUGGAUCCGCGCUGCAUUAGCUAGUUGGUAAGGUAACGGCUUACCAAGGCAACGAUGCAUAGCCGACCUGAGAGGGUGAUCGGCCACACUGGAACUGAGACACGGUCCCGACUCCUACGGGAGGCAGCAGUAGGGAAUCUUCCGCAAUGGGCGAAAGCCUGACGGAGCAACGCCGCGUGAGUGAUGAAGGUCUUCGGAUCGUAAAACUCUGUUAUUGGGGAAGAACAUAUGUGUAAGUAACUGUGCACAUCUUGACGGUACCUAAUCAGAAAGCCACGGCUAACUACGUG
Molecule: ribosomal RNA, 497 nt
Filed under: uncultured bacterium
Lineage: Bacteria
Description: partial 16S ribosomal RNA
Rfam family: Bacterial small subunit ribosomal RNA
Source: RNAcentral